RNAcentral lists this ribosomal RNA (463 nucleotides) under uncultured Clostridium sp. RNAcentral's name for it is "bacterial SSU rRNA". It matches the Rfam family "Bacterial small subunit ribosomal RNA", at positions 28 to 508 of the family's 1533-position model. The record is from RNAcentral. Lineage: Bacteria; Bacillati; Bacillota; Clostridia; Eubacteriales; Clostridiaceae.
GACGAACGCUGGCGGCGUGCUUAACACAUGCAAGUCGAGCGAUGAAGUUCCUUCGGGAACGGAUUAGCGGCGGACGGGUGAGUAACACGUGGGUAACCUGCCUCAUAGAGGGGAAUAGCCUUUCGAAAGGAAGAUUAAUACCGCAUAAGAUUGUAGUGCCGCAUGGCAUAGCAAUUAAAGGAGUAAUCCGCUAUGAGAUGGACCCGCGUCGCAUUAGCUAGUUGGUGAGGUAACGGCUCACCAAGGCGACGAUGCGUAGCCGACCUGAGAGGGUGAUCGGCCACAUUGGGACUGAGACACGGCCCAGACUCCUACGGGAGGCAGCAGUGGGGAAUAUUGCACAAUGGGGGAAACCCUGAUGCAGCAACGCCGCGUGAGUGAUGACGGUCUUCGGAUUGUAAAGCUCUGUCUUCAGGGACGAUAAUGACGGUACCUGAGGAGGAAGCCACGGCUAACUACGUGC